Molecule: ribosomal RNA, 532 nt
Filed under: Bifidobacterium longum subsp. suillum
Lineage: Bacteria; Bacillati; Actinomycetota; Actinomycetes; Bifidobacteriales; Bifidobacteriaceae
Description: bacterial SSU rRNA
Rfam family: Bacterial small subunit ribosomal RNA
Source: RNAcentral
GGUAAUGCCGGAUGCUCCAGUUGAUCGCAUGGUCUUCUGGGAAAGCUUUCGCGGUAUGGGAUGGGGUCGCGUCCUAUCAGCUUGACGGCGGGGUAACGGCCCACCGUGGCUUCGACGGGUAGCCGGCCUGAGAGGGCGACCGGCCACAUUGGGACUGAGAUACGGCCCAGACUCCUACGGGAGGCAGCAGUGGGGAAUAUUGCACAAUGGGCGCAAGCCUGAUGCAGCGACGCCGCGUGAGGGAUGGAGGCCUUCGGGUUGUAAACCUCUUUUAUCGGGGAGCAAGCGAGAGUGAGUUUACCCGUUGAAUAAGCACCGGCUAACUACGUGCCAGCAGCCGCGGUAAUACGUAGGGUGCAAGCGUUAUCCGGAAUUAUUGGGCGUAAAGGGCUCGUAGGCGGUUCGUCGCGUCCGGUGUGAAAGUCCAUCGCUUAACGGUGGAUCCGCGCCGGGUACGGGCGGGCUUGAGUGCGGUAGGGGAGACUGGAAUUCCCGGUGUAACGGUGGAAUGUGUAGAUAUCGGGAAAGAACA